This is a non-coding RNA of Spodoptera litura, 1769 nucleotides long. The record is from RefSeq and is a predicted model, not a curated record. NCBI's taxonomy places the organism in Eukaryota, Metazoa, Arthropoda, Insecta, Lepidoptera, Noctuidae.
CCGUCCACGCAUGGUUUAUGUAUGUUGGACGUGCGAUUCAGAGAUGCCUCCGUCCACGCAUUGGUUAUGUGUAACAGACGUGCGAUUCAGUGAUGCCUCCGUCUGGGUAUAGACGUGCCUAUAGUGAGAGGUAUCGGUCUAUAAGAACUAUUGCGUUGACGUGCGAUUCAGAGAUGCCUCCGUCAACCUUAGGCAGAGGGGACGCCUUCUGUCUGAUCUGUUCACAGGUGCUGCAUGCUGCCCACAUUGUUGGAGGGCCGCUACGUACUUAUAUGAAGAUUACGGAAGUACAUUAAUGAGAGCUCUCACGUAUUAGACUUUGAAAUUUGCAUUAGCACUCUGAAAUAGCAGUGCCUUAUGUUUCAGAUAACGAAGAGUAUGAUUCAGGUGCAGGUCCAUCCUCAGUCUCCCUCAGACCGGGCGAGGAGACAGCCGGACCAGGUGGUGCCUCUUCAGCAGCAGGACCGGCUCUGGUGAUAAACGAGCGUCACGAAGAUGGCGCCGAGGACGACGCCUCUUCAGGAUAGGCCGAUUUAGGAACCCCAACAAUAAUAUCUAACAUAGCCUAUAAAAGGCGGCGCAGACGCUGGUGGGGGUCAUUUGCUCGUCAGCUCUCGUGGAGGUCGGUAGCAGUCGGCGCGAUUUGUGAGUGUUUUUGUAUUAGUAAGAGUGCUAUAAGUCUUAAAAACGUUAAACUCAUGCGUGUGUUCUACAUCUAUAAUAUCGUGAUGUGGGUGCUCACCCUCGUUCUAAUUAUGAUCCUGGUAGUGUUAUUGCUAAGGAAAAUGGAUCCAUCUGAUGUCUUUUCCUACUACUCCUGGAAGUUCCUCGUUACUACUGCUAACUUCUUUUUCACUUUGUUGGUACAAGUCUACUUUAUGCUCCUAUUGAGAAGUGAGAUCUUAAAACUUGAGGGCAAGUACGGGUUCAGCUUCGUGAACAAUGCGGCUGAGGGAGAGUGUACAAUUAGAGAAGGCACUCAAAUAGACGAAGCCUGGAAGACAACAGACAAUCAAGAAGAAAAUAAGACUGGGCCAGGUGCGGUAGAUGAAGAAGGAAAAUCGUCUGAACAGGCAAUGCGGUACCCCUAGUAAUGGUGACACUGUAUUCCGGCCCUGGGCUCUGUCUGCUAUUUUUAAAAUUGUUGUCAUUCCAACACGGCCGCAUUGUCAUUUUGCUAUAAGUUCCUAAUCUGCUAAAUUCAUAAUAGUCGAUAAUUGAUCAAUCAAUAGUCUCGGAAUGGAAUUGUAGUAGAAUGACAUUGCCUUAUUGCCAUUAUUAUGAAACUUUGUAGUAGACAUAAUUUUCGAUAAUCUACUACUAAAUUUGAAUAUCUAUUCAUGUCAGAUGUAGGUAAUUUCUAUUUUAUUUUACAAAAAUAUCUAUCAGUGUUAUAGGUAUGCAAUCUGAAGUAUUUGUCAUUACGCAUGCGAUUACCAUUUCAUGUCAUUACUUUCAGUGGUUGACCAUUGGUCAAGUCAAGUCAUAAUGACGCCAUUACAUUAGUAGAUUACCAAACUUGUCAAAAUCAACAAUUUCGAAAUCAAUGAUUAAUAAUUCUGAUACUAUUGUAAUAGCAGACUUGAGGCCCAGUUGGCUGACACCAUUACAAAGCCGUCUAUGUAGUACAGUAUUUUUGACAAUGUGCUAAAAUGAACAGGGUACGCAUUUACCAACAUGUUAAGUCGCUCAUAGAAGCUAGUUUGGUGUAUACUAUUUUUAUGAGUUUUUAAUAAAGUUUGGUACGUUUCAGUACUACUUAAAGUGAA